AGAGAAAGAAAAAAUUAUUCACUUUUAACUUUUUAUAAAUUAUUACAACUGUAAAGGUCAAAUAUUUGGUAUGCAUUUGCAGCUGGCCUCCUUUUCUCCAAGAUCCCUGAAAUACAAAAUGUAGGCACCCAAUUAGCUUCAGAUUUCACAUAAUAGGCCAACCAGUUUGAAUGAAAGUCCUCAUGUCCAAUGUUAUUUUUAGGACAUUCAACAUGAAAGUGAUUCUAUUUACUGUAAACGUAUGACUUUCUGGGGGGGAAAAACUGCACUACUUUUGAAAAAUACAUAACCAAAACAAAUUAAUUACAACGUUUUUUAAGCUACAGCCUCCACUUUGAAUACCCUUUUCCAUUAUGUUUGAGUUAAUUUUCUUUUCUACCAUAAGAGGAACUACUAAUUUUUGCUGUUAAACAGUGGUGUAGUCUAUGUGAUACGGUGGCAUACGCUUUAUGCCCACUAGAAACGCUUGGGAAUUUCCUAUAACUACUUAAAUCCCAAAUUAUGUGAUAAUCUGUGUGUAUCCAGCGCGUAUUUUUCACAUUGGCUUAUGGUGAUCAGCGCGGUCACCUGCUGCGGUAAACUUCUCCUUCUUUCCAUUAAAUCUGAGGCUCACCUCUAUUGGCUGAGAGCAAGGCUCCCUGCUCUGUGAUUGGUUUCGUAUUCAGCUGCUCCUCUCUGAUUGGCUGAGAACAUGGAGGGAAAAGAUUCGACAGAGUAGAGUCGAAAGACGCAGCAGUCGGAGCGUUUUCAAUGAUUACAAUAACAGACUGAAAAUGACGAGAAAACAAGCUACUUUUUUAAUAAACCAUCUGCGCCUAGUCACAGAAGCAGCAGCUUAGAAGAACCUGCCAUUUUGACAGCCGAAACCAUCGACAAUCGGGUUGAUAUCAGCGUUACCCUGAUCAGGCAGGCAGGGAGAGUGAGGAGACUGAUUAUGAGAGAAAGCUCCAGGCGGAGGGAGACAUGCAGGCGCGGUGUGACAGCACAGCUGGGCGCCUGAUGUGACUCACACCGCUGAGACUGGAUGCAGGAGGCCCGAGGCGGAGCUUCACAUCGUGGCAGAGCCGGGGGAGCCGUGCAGCAGUUCUCUCCUGGUGUGACUUGCACUGUGCACAGAGCUGACGCGCCGUUUAUCACCAUCUCGCUGAUGGUGUGUGGAUGUUGAUGGGCCACCUGUCCUCCCUAUGGGCCACUCAGCUAAGUGAUUCAGCAGUGGCCUCAUUAGAGAAGCUUAUUGCCUUAAUGCAGCCCAAACACAACAACUCAAGAUGGAGCUGCUCCAAAGUAACUGCACUGUAAAACAUUUACAGGUGGUUUAACCUGAAAAUUAAAGCCCACCUGCUGCCUUGAAAAUGUAAUUUAAUCAACAAGAAAACUGUUUUGGUUUUAACUCAGAAAUUUAAGUUUAUAAAGUUGGUUUAACAAGAGAGAAGUUGUCUAAACAUUGUUUCUUAACUUCAUUCAUCUUGAAUUGUGAGUUUUAACUUAA
This is a long non-coding RNA of Xiphophorus couchianus (Monterrey platyfish), 1489 nucleotides long. RefSeq lists it as uncharacterized. The transcript is spliced from 5 exons. The record is from RefSeq and is a predicted model, not a curated record. Lineage: Eukaryota; Metazoa; Chordata; Actinopteri; Cyprinodontiformes; Poeciliidae.